This is a non-coding RNA of Salvelinus sp. IW2-2015, 382 nucleotides long. Lineage: Eukaryota; Metazoa; Chordata; Actinopteri; Salmoniformes; Salmonidae. The record is from RefSeq and is a predicted model, not a curated record.
GGGUAAACCAGGUUUUGUAGCCGUGUGGCGAGGAUGGGUCAUGAAGACUGAGGCACACGAAUGAAGAAAAAGGGAAAUAAAUGUUUGGGGGCGUAAUCCAGCCAUCCAAUCCAGACAGCCAGAUCCAUUGGAAACAAAUGACUUUCCAAUGAGCGCACAGCCUCGUUAAACCGCGUUGGAGUGGCGCCCUUCUCAGUGCUCCUGUGGACCAGCACUGUCAGCCCUCCUACCAUUGAUGAAUAAAGUGAWGGAAUGUCUCAAAUUAAGAAAUUAAAGGGUUUAAAAUGUCUUUAAUUGGUUGGGUGAAAAUCAAAACAYCAGUUGUACAGUGAUUCAAACACACAUCAACAUACAAUAAACCAAAUAUACAGCUGUCCUUUUA